UUUUUUCUUGAAACCCGGAAAAUUUUGAUAAUUGUUCUUUUGCCGUAAAGAGUCAAGAGCAUUCACUUAGGGUGAGUAAGAAAUAAGUUGGGGAGAACGAAAAAGAGAAUCGGUUAGUGCCACAACUCUUGAAAAACCGAGCAAGCAUUGAAAAUAAAAAAAAAAUAAAAAUAUAGAAAAGAGAAACAUCUGUUUUGUAAAUAUGAUGUGAAAGAAAAGAAAAAAUAGAAAAAAUGAAAAUGAAUGCUUGCUUGGAAGAAAAAUAGUGAAAAACAAAAAUUUGAGUUGUGAAAUAAGAGU
RNAcentral lists this long non-coding RNA (300 nucleotides) under Lathyrus oleraceus (garden pea). Its description in RNAcentral is "Pisum sativum (pea) long non-coding RNA (PSAT_LNC000998)". The record is from RNAcentral. Lineage: Eukaryota; Viridiplantae; Streptophyta; Magnoliopsida; Fabales; Fabaceae.